This is a long non-coding RNA of Rhipicephalus microplus (southern cattle tick), 246 nucleotides long. Lineage: Eukaryota; Metazoa; Arthropoda; Arachnida; Ixodida; Ixodidae. The record is from RefSeq and is a predicted model, not a curated record.
GUCAACGGCGCCAUAAGAGCUCGAAGCCGGUGCGUCCUCGUUAGGUGCUGUUGCGACGUGCGUGACUCGAUGGCCAUGUACCUCGGGGGUUCGGUCGUGCUGACGAUCCUCUCCUGCCUCUGCCGCAAGGUGGAGAUAUUCGUGCUCACCAUGACUCCCUACGACCCGAUCGAGUGCUGCGGGAUUAAAGGGUUGCUUUACCUCAGAGGGCGCUUGGACAACCCAGAAUACAGCGCGAACGCGGUA